RNAcentral lists this ribosomal RNA (253 nucleotides) under uncultured bacterium. RNAcentral's name for it is "partial 16S ribosomal RNA". It matches the Rfam family "Archaeal small subunit ribosomal RNA", at positions 474 to 727 of the family's 1478-position model. The record is from RNAcentral.
UACCAGCACCCCGAGUGGUCGGGACGAUUAUUGGGCCUAAAGCAUCCGUAGCCGGUUUUACAAGUCCUCCGUUAAAUCCAACUGCUUAACAGAUGGGCCGCGGAGGAUACUAUAAGACUAGGAGGCAGGAGAGGCAAGCGGUACUCAGUGGGUAGGGGUAAAAUCCGUUGAUCCAUUGAAGACCACCAGUGGCGAAGGCGGCUUCCUGGACUAAUACUGACGCUGAGGUGCGAAAGCGUGGGGAGCAAACAGG